Molecule: long non-coding RNA, 1199 nt
Organism: Nematostella vectensis (starlet sea anemone)
Lineage: Eukaryota; Metazoa; Cnidaria; Anthozoa; Actiniaria; Edwardsiidae
Exons: 2
Source: RefSeq, a predicted model, not a curated record
CGUAGAUAAACACCAAAAUCAGAGAACAACGUAGCUUGGUAAGGGUGUUCCCUACACAGCUGAAGAAAUCACUCAAUAUCAUCCCGUCUUCUUUUCGAACUUUGUUUCAGGGACCCUGCUGGUUCAGACGGCCGACCAACAGGGAGUGCGGAAUGAGAGCCCGUCAGAGGACCUGGACUGGAUGACGCCUAGAGUAACUCACAGAGAGACUACAGAGGGAGAAGAGAAUGGUUCAUGGGAUGCUCAGCUCAGGGUAUGAUAACAAGUUUGUAGUCUGUCCUUCAGUUGUACCAAAGGGGCCUUUACCAACAUCAACCCAAUGUUAAGGCAUCUCCUCAUGGCUGCUUUGCUCCCCUUUCAAAUGGUAUUUUCCUCAAAUGCUGAUUGUUCGUGAUUCGUUAUUAGUUAACAUAAGUAGAAUUAAGGAAGGAUAAUGUGUUAUUGGACUUGAUCAGAAAACCAAGGAAACGGAUAGACUCGACAUGCUGUUAUAAAUUCCAUAAGAGAUGAAACCAACCAUUGCGCUGUCUUUCCCUAAUUGCUGUCUUUCUAAUAUAUGGAUAUAUUUAAAUAUAUUUCUAAGUAUAUAUUUUAAGUCUGUUUUUGUAGAAAUGAAAUAAUCCCAGGACGAUUGCGUUGCUCACAUACCAUUCAUCAUUCCUCAUUCUAUUCAUACAAAGCAACUUUGCCAAACAUGAAUCUUUGUGAGCAGCUUGCUGGGCUGUUUUUGAAGAUGCUUAAAAAUCUACAUAAUGAGUUUCUUUUUUUGCAUGCCAAUUGCUAUUGUAAUAUGCUCCUACAAAAAAUGAAACUCUAGGGACAUUUCGUUUAGGUGCCUAAUACCUGUCAUAGCAGAGUGCAUUUCAUGGCGCUUUCUAGUUUCUAAAAAAAAAACAGUUGUUAACUGUUCGUCAAAAGUCAUGCAAGAACCAUUGUUGAGACGACACGCCCAUAUUUGUGAUCAUUCUUAUAUAAAGUUCGCCUGCAAACAAGCUCAAAUAGCAGGUCACGUUCGUUCCCUAUUGCAUCGAAAGAGAAACAGUUACCAUUGCUCUCAAGAAGUUGUUUCUGGUUUGCGCAAAUGGGUUAUGUAUUUAAACAAAGUGAUGGUAUUCUUAAAGUAUAUUGAAUAGAGGUCAGGCACAAAUGCAAAACGCUACUCUUAGGGUUAUGCCCCGUGUGCAAGUGCGCUCGAAAGC